CCCUUAGAUGUUCUGGGCCGCACGCGCGCUGCACUGAUGCAUUCAACGAGCCUAUCCUUGACCGACAGGUCCGGGUAAUCUUUGAAUCUGCAUCGUGACGGGGAUAGAUUAUUGCAAUUAUUAAUCUUCAACGAGGAAUGCCUAGUAGGCGCAAGUCAUCAGCUUGCGUCGAUUACGUCCCUGCCCUUUGUACACACCGCCCGUCGCUCCUACCGAUUGGGUGUGCUGGUGAAAUGUUCGGAUCGGCCGUUUGUCGCGGUUUCCGCGGCUCGUGGCUGAGAAGUUCAUUAAACCCUCCCACCUAGAGGAAGGAGAAGUCGUAACA
RNAcentral lists this ribosomal RNA (325 nucleotides) under uncultured eukaryote. Its description in RNAcentral is "partial 18S ribosomal RNA". It matches the Rfam family "Eukaryotic small subunit ribosomal RNA", at positions 1470 to 1796 of the family's 1831-position model. The record is from RNAcentral.